RNAcentral lists this small nuclear RNA (116 nucleotides) under Catagonus wagneri (Chacoan peccary). Its description in RNAcentral is "U2 spliceosomal RNA (ENSCWAG00000013671.1)". It matches the Rfam family "U2 spliceosomal RNA", at positions 1 to 124 of the family's 192-position model. From Rfam's summary of the family: U2 is a small nuclear RNA (snRNA) component of the spliceosome (involved in pre-mRNA splicing). Complementary binding between U2 snRNA (in an area lying towards the 5' end but 3' to hairpin I) and the branchpoint sequence (BPS) of the intron results the bulging out of an unpaired adenosine, on the BPS, which initiates a nucleophilic attack at the intronic 5' splice site, thus starting the first of two transesterification reactions that mediate splicing. Lineage: Eukaryota; Metazoa; Chordata; Mammalia; Artiodactyla; Tayassuidae. The record is from Rfam by way of RNAcentral.
AACGCUUCUCAGCCUUUUGGCUAAGAUCAAGUGUAGCGUCUCUUCUUAGUUUAAUAUCUGAUAUGUCCUCUAGUCCUCUAUUCCAAAACACACUUGUGGUUUCAAAAGGAAUAUUU